This 302-nucleotide unclassified non-coding RNA is filed under the name Hevea brasiliensis (rubber tree). Lineage: Eukaryota; Viridiplantae; Streptophyta; Magnoliopsida; Malpighiales; Euphorbiaceae. The record is from RNAcentral.
UCUGACAAUCCCAUAUAGUUUCGCUCUUUUAAUUUAGAGCUAUUCUGGCAUAUGCUUUCUGCAGAGGUUGAAGAAGCCAGUAGAGUAACAUUGCUUUGACCCUCCUCCUCCACAACACCAAGUAGUGGUGGAGACAUCAGAAGUAAGAAGAAAAACACUCAGAAUUCUCUGUAACCUGCUUAGAUUUAUGGAUUUGAAGCUGAAGAAGAGGAAGAUGAUCAAUUGAGUUUUUUUUUCUCUUUGAUUUUAGCAGAGAAAUUCACAGGGAGUGAGAGGAGUAGUAAGGAUCCUCCAUUUGGCAC